CCUACGGGAGGCUGCAGUGGGGAAUAUUGCACAAUGGGCGAAAGCCUGACGCAGCAACGCCGCGUGAAGGAAGUAGGUUUUCGGCUUGUAAACUUCUUUUGUCAGGGACGAAACAAAUGACGUUUCCUGAAUAAGCAGCCACGGCCAACUACGUGCCAGCAGCCGCGGUAAUACGUAGGGGGCAAGCGUUAUCCGGAAUUACUGGGGGUAAAGGGGGUGUAGGCGGGAUAGUAAGUCAGAUGUGAAAGCCAUGGGCUUAACCUGAGGACUGCAUUUGAAACUGUCAUUCUAGAGUACGGGAGAGGCAGGCGGAAGUCUUAGUGUAGCGGUGAAAUGCGUAGAGAUUAAGAGGAACACCAGUGGCGAAGGCGGCCUGCUGGACCGAAACUGACGCUGAGGCGCGAAAGCGUGGGGAGCAAACAGGAUUAGAUACCCGAGUAGUC
This 443-nucleotide ribosomal RNA is filed under the name uncultured bacterium. RNAcentral's name for it is "partial 16S ribosomal RNA". It matches the Rfam family "Bacterial small subunit ribosomal RNA", at positions 338 to 795 of the family's 1533-position model. The record is from RNAcentral.